RNAcentral lists this long non-coding RNA (10404 nucleotides) under Malus domestica (apple). Its description in RNAcentral is "long non-coding RNA (MDOM_LNC018247)". The record is from RNAcentral. Lineage: Eukaryota; Viridiplantae; Streptophyta; Magnoliopsida; Rosales; Rosaceae.
UUUUAGUAAUUUCAAUAAAGUCUUAACAACAAAAUAUAAACUCUAUGUAAAAAAAAAAAAAAUUGUUAAACGGAUGAAACGGAUGACCCGUUAGCUUAACGGGUAGAGUUCGGGUGACCUAUUAAUUUAACGGAUCGGGUUCAACCCGACCCAAACCCAAUAAACCGACCCGUUUACAGGUCUUCACUUCUAUAUACAAACGAGUAUAACUUCUUUGUAUAGAACUUCCGAGUUGUAAAACUACUAAAUCCUUGUUUUCAAGUCAGCUGAUUGUGGGACAUUCUGAUUAAGAUGAUUUAUUUUAUUAAUUUUCUUUCGGGGCAUAUAUUUCUGCGGUGAGAAGAUUGUCUCCUUCAGUCCCACAUGAACUUGAGGACUGGUUAAAACUAUGAUACAUGUUCACUAAUGAUUUAUUUCUAAAAAAGAAAGAAGUUAAAACAACGAUUGACACUAGUCAAGCAGUUAUGACACCUUCACUAAUUUGCCGUAACUAAAAUCAAAAUCAUGAGUUGGUUACGAAUUGUUUGUGUAAUCAAAGAACUAUGAAAAAUUUAACAAUGUUCUUCCCUUGAAAAAUAAUUGUUGCCGGUCCUUUGGUAAUUACACUGGAACGUACUAGCAGCUAGCCACCCUCCAUAUCCCAAUCCAUCACAACGUCACUUUUCACUACUAGUCAACUUUCCAAACGACCAACUCUAUAGAGUAGGAUUCUCUCAAUUCCUAAUUUCUCUCUCCUUCCAUUACCUCCUAUUUAAAUGGUUGCUAUUACGUCACAUCUACAUCUUGUUGAUUUUUUUAUAUAAAGCAUAAGACAAAAAGAAGAGUGUGAGAGGACGGGAUAGUAAUAGGAGGAGAGAGAAUCCUACUCCCAACUCUACGCAACAUUUUUGUACGAUUCAACGGUUAUCAAAUGCCAAAAGAAGAGAAAAAUUAAUAUCGCCUUUGCAUAACUUGAUGACAUAUAAAAAUAAUUAAAAUCUAGAUGCUGGAGAAACAAUAGCGAAUAUGAGCAAAACCAAAUUGAAAGAACCGUUCGAUAACUAUUUGAUUUUUAAUUUUUAAUUUUUAAUUUUUAAUUUUUUUUUUUUUUUGUGGCUUGAGAGAGAGGGGAAACGCAUAAAAGUUUCCUUUGUUUUAUAUUUAUUGAAGCCAACCAGUAACCAUUGCUCCUCUACCAAAACUCAACAAGGUCAAAAAGUUACAACCUAUCUCAACCAGUGGAUAUUAUAAGAGGUUUGCUAUUCACACCUUCCUUUUUAUUUUUCACUCAUUUAUGUAAUUUUUGUCUAUUAAUCUUCUUCAAUUAUGAGAGGAAAAUUGUGAAAUCCCAUCCCCAAGUUUCAUUAUUUAAUUACGUACUUUGUAUUUACACGAUUUUUAUUUUAUCUUAAUUUGCUGAUUAUUGAUUACAGUUUAGUAUAUAUAACAUGAUUUUGGACACGUCUUGUCCAACAUGUAUAGUUUUAUGUGUUUGUACUGUUAAAUUAAGAUGCAGGAUACCAGAUACGUGUCUACAAUCCUACGUAUCAGAUGUGAAGAUGUUUUUCUCAUUGUGGGUGAACUAGAGGUAAGGCGAACAACGCAUACGGCUCUUAGAUCUCACUUAAAUUAGACCUCAUACCUUCCAUCAUUUAUCGUAUUGUUGAUAAAAAAGAUGAGGAAACAAAAAUAUCUCAUACUCAUAAAUUCAGUGUGACAUACCUUAAACUCAUAUUGUUGUGGGAAAAAAAAAAAUUCACAUUAAGGUACUAAAGUAUAUGCAGGCCUCAUUUUAUUUCCGCGUUAGGCCUCCGUUUGCAUUGGAAUGACUUUGGCGUGGAGAAAUAAUUCAGCCUCGGUAAAAGAUCUUUAUGUAUUCACUUUUGAUUAUCUUAUGCAUCACCAUCACCAUCACCACCACCACAUCUAUUAUACUCGUAACGUGCCCGACCAAGCUCGGUUUCGAAACACUAAUAGACUAGACAUUGUAAUGUUUAGAGUUUCUCAAGAAACAUGCAUGUUUAGUAAUCCACGGAAAUCAUAAUAAAAAUAAGGAAUUGGUUUUUUGUAUGGGUAAUGAUAAGGACCAAAUUUUUUAAACUAAAUGAUGUAGUUGUAAAUAAUUGGAUUAUUAAUUGAGUGUCAAUUAACGUGUUUGUUUUUUAUUGAUGACAUAUAAUUUGGAUUUGGAUCCUUGCCGGAUCCCUUCCCUGAAGAUCAAUUAACACAGACCGUUGAUAAAAAAUUAUGAGGGCACAAUUUUUUCCCUUUUUAUAUUUUUCACGCAAAACGAUGCUGCUUUACUUUUAAAAAUAUAAAAAGCAUGUAAUUGGGACCGCACGAUUUUUUAUCAACGGGCUGUGUUCGUUGAUCCCUAGGGAGAGGAUCCGAAGAGGAUCCAAAUCCAUAUAAUUUAGUUUGCAAAUUUGAUAUCCCUAACACUAUUCAUUUUUAACACAUACUAUAAUUAUAACUAUUCAUAUAUGAAUAAGGCACACUAACUACGAAGAAGUUGAAAGGCCCACACAAAAAAAGAAAUUGAUCUGCUGAUAAGGGGUUUGAAGGAGCUAGCAGGUAUUUUCUAUGGUUGUAGGAUCUCAAAUAACAACUAAUAUGUCUGUUAUGCUCUAAAGUGGUGUGCUAUCCACACCUCCUCAAUUUCAACAAUCGGAAAUUAACAAUGAGUAUGGAUAGCAUUAUCCUACUCUAAAAUAUCUUUUUUCGUUUUCACACACCUCAAUUUUAGCCGUCAUAUCAAAUGACUUGAAGAAAAUUAACAAUGUGUGGAUAGCAUUACCUUCAAAUAUCUUUUUCAGUCCAUUCCAAACAUCACAUCACUCCCUCAUCUCUUUCAGCUACCAUACACAGAAAUACAAAAUGAGGGAGUAGGAUUCUCUCCCCUCUCUUCCUAUUUGAACAGUUACGUCAAUAUCUUAUAUUAAUUUUUUUAAUAAAAAUAGAAAGACAAAAUAGAGAAUGUGAGAUGAAAGGAGAGAAUCUUAAUCCGAAAAUGAGAGCACUCCGGUCCAUGGGCAACAUCAAACAGCUCUUCAAGAGGUUGACUGGAGCCAGAGCAUGUGAUGCCUCAGCUGCUGCUGUAGAACCAAAUGUCAAGGUGGAGUACAACAUUUCCCCGUCCCACCCCAGACACGUCAUCCGAUUUUCCUUCCACCCAGAUGACGAACAAAUUGCCAAGAAAAUGAUGACUGCUAACCCCACCGGGAUUAUGGAUUAGCUUUCCCAUGUCAACAUCAUCACCACCAAUGCAUAUCUCAUCUGGAAAUCUGGUCGAGCACUAUUCAAGGCUAAGGAAAGUAGUCUGAAGGAAGUGUUAAAGGGUGAAAUUUGUUGCUUCAGCACGCAGACUCAGAAACACCUUGCUUCCCUGGUUCAUCAGUCCAGUAAAAACAUAGCUCAUAUUAAGUACCUGGAACUAGUCACAAACCAUUGAUUCCCAAAGGGCAACAACAACGACAAUUCACAUUUGAGUGGAGGAAGAUGAGACCCCUUUGGGAGUCCAUGUUUCGCAAAACGGUUUGCGAAAAUCCAGGUACUUAAUACAAGCUGUGUUUUCACCGAACUGAUGAACCAGGUAAGCAAGAUGCUUCCGAGCCUGCAGCAACAAGUUUCACCCUUCAAAACUUCUUUCAGACCACUUUCCUUAGCCUUAAAUAUUGCUCGGCUGGAUUUCCAGACGAGAUCUGCAUUGUCGGCAAUAAUGUUGACAUGGGAAAAACAAUCCAUAAUCUCGAGGGAUAGCAGCCAUCUUUUUCCUGGCUCUCUAUUCAUCAUCUAGGUGGACGCAAAAUCGAAUAACGUGUUUAGGGUGGGACAGGGAAAUGUUGUACUCCAAAUUGACAUUUGGUUCUUCAGCAGCAGCUGAGGCACCGCCUACUCUGGCUCCAGUCAACCUCUUUAAGAGUUGUCUAAUGCUGCCCGCGGACUGAAAUGCCCUUAUUUUUUUACUAAGAUUCUCUUCCCUCCUCUUUCAAUUCCCUCAUCUCACAUUCUCUAUUUUGUCUCUUUCUAUAAAGUUAAUAUAAGAUGUUAACGUAACCGUUCAAAUAUGAAGGGAGAGGGUGGGAAAAAAAAGAGAAGAGAGAAUCCUACUCUUUUUUUUUUCCUGCUAGGGUAGCCGGGAGUUAUGUGACGUUUGGAAUAGUCUGAAAAAGAUAUUUUAGAGUAGGGUGGUGCUAUCCACACUCAUUGUUAAUUUAUAUCCUUAUAUUUUCUUCAAGUCAUUUGAUCCGACGGCUGAAAUUGAGGUGUGUGAAAACUAAGAAAGACAUUUUAGAGUAGGGUGAUGCUAUCCAAAUACUCAUCGUUAACAUCAGUGGAGAGAAUCUUAGUCCGAAUAUGAGAGCACUCCGGUCCAUGGGCAACAUUAGACAGCUCUUCAAGAGGUUGACUGAAGCCAGAGCAUGUGAUGCCUCAACUGCUGCUGUAGAACCAAAUGUCAAGGUGGAGUACAACAUUUCCCCGUCCCACCCCAAACACGUCAUCGGAUUUUCCUUCCACCUAGAUGAAGAACAAAUUGCCAAGAAAAUGAUGACUGCUAACCCCACCGGGAUUAUGGAUUAGCUUUCCCAUGUCAACAUCAUCACCACCAGUGCAUAUCUCAUCUGGAAAUCUGGUCGAGCACUAUUCAAGGCUAAGGAAAGUGAUCUGAAGGAAGUGUUGAAGGGUGAAAUUUGUUGCUUCAGCACGCAGACUCAGAAACACCUUGCUUCCCUGGUUUAUCAGUCCAGUAAAAACAUAGCUCAUAUUAAGUACCUGGAACUAGUCACAAAUCAUUUCGCAAACCAUGGACUCCCAAAGGGCAACAACAACGACAAUUCACAUUUGAGUGGAGGAAGAUGAGACCCCUUUGGGAGUCCAUGUUUCGCAAAACGGUUUGCGAAAAUCCAGGUACUUAAUACAAGCUAUGUUCUCACCGAACUGAUGAACCAGGUAAGCAAGAUGCUUCCGAGCCUGCAGCUUGAAGCAACAAGUUUCACCAUUCAAAACUUCUUUCAGACCACUUUCCUUAGCCUUAAAUAUUGUUCGGCUGGAUUUCCAGACGAGAUCUACAUUGUCGACAAUGAUGUUGACAUGGGAAAGACAAUCCAUAAUCUUAAGGGAUAGCAGCCAUCAUUUUCCUGGCUCUCUAUUCAUCAUCUAAGUGGACGCAAAAUCGGAUGACGUCUUUGGGGUGGGACAGGGAAAUGUUGUACUCCACAUUAACAUUUGGUUAUUCAGCAGCAGCUGAGGCACCGCCUACUCUGGCUCCCCUUGUCAACCUCUUUAAGAGCUGUCUAAUGCUGCCCGCAAACUAGAAUGCCCUUAUUUUUGGACUAAGAUUUUCUUCCCUCCUCUUUCCAUCCCCUCAUCUCACAUUCUUUAUUUUGUCUUUCUAUUUCUAUAAAGUUAAUAUAAGAUGUUAACGUGACUUAACCGUAACCGUUCAAAUAUAAAGGGAGAUGAGGGAAAGGGAGGGAAAAAAAAGAGAAGAAAGAAUCCUACUCUUUUUUUUUUGCGUAAGGUAGCCGGGAGAAAGGAGGGAGUUAUGUGAUGUUUGGAAUAGUCUGAAAAAGAUAUUUUAGAGUAGGGUGGUGCUAUCCACACUCAUUGUUAAUUUAUGUCCUUAUAUUUUCUUAAAGUCAUUUGAUACGACGGCUGAAAUUAAUUUAUGUCCUUAUAUUCUCUUCCCUCCUCUUUCCAUCCCUUCUUCUCACAUUCUCUGUUUUGUCUUUCUAUUUCUAUAAAGUUAAUAUAAGAUGUUAACGUGACUUAACCGUAACCGUUCAAAUAUUAAGGGAGAGGAGGGAAAGGGAGAGAAAAAAAAGAGAAGAAAGAAUCCUACUCUCUUUUUUUCUGCGUAAGGUAGCCGGGAGAAAGGAGGGAGUUAUGUGACGUUUGGAAUAAACUAAAAAAGAUAUUUUAGAGUAAGGUGGUGCUAUCCACACAUUGUUAAUUUAUGUCCUUAGAUUUUCUUCAACCCAUUUGAUCUGAUGGUUGAAAUUGAGGAGGUGUGGGAAAGCUAAAAAAGAUAUUUUAGAGUAGGGUGAUGUUAUUCACACACUAAUUGUUAAUUUCUAUCCUUAGACCUUCUUCAAAUCAUUUGAUUCGACGGCUGAAAUUGAAGAGGUGUGAAAACUAAAAAUGGGUGUGAAUAGCACACUCGUUUAGAGCAUAACAAACAUAUUAGUUGUUACUAGCAACGAAGCCCGCGUGAUGCUGUGGGUUUUUAAACAACAUAAAACAUGUAGAAAAUUAUAUUUACAACUCGACUUAACUCAAUCUAUUUACAAUUCUGCCUAACUCAAGGAAUAGAUAAAAGUUUGUUUCUUAUCGAAAUAUACGAAUUUGAAUGAAAUAUAUCAAAGAAGUAUAGAGUGGAGCAAACCUUGUAAUUUCUGUAAGAUGGGCAGCUGGAACACCAAUAGUGAUAUAGUUUGAAGGAAUCUGGCUGUAAUCCACUUUGGUUGUUCUUUGUAAAUUUGUUGGAAAAUGUAGUAGUUAGCCUGAAAAUAACAAUCAAGAGCGUUGAACGAAUCAAACCUGAAUGAUAUCACUAACUAAUACUAACUAAUCAAACCUGAAAAAUGAGCCAAACUGCGAUUGACUACUAACUAAUACUAUAACACUCUUUUAUGCCAGUAAUCUAAGAGAGAUUUUAAUAAAAAGGGCACAGGCAGCGGGGAAUUAGCAAAAUGGUGAAGAUGAAGGUUAUUAGGCAGCCAAUCCCCUUCUCUCCUCUCUUCUCCUUUACCUCUCUCUCCACCACCCUCCUUUCUCUCUCUCUUUCUUUCUUCCCUUUCUCUCCGCCGGUUUCUCUACCCGAAUGAGACACCCACCGCAUUCUUUUUUUUUUUACUCUCCCCACCCCAAUUCCCAAUUCGCCAUUCUGUCUCUGCGUCUCUCUCUAUUUCUCUAUUAUCUCUGCUCUAUACUUGGUUUGUUAUUCUCUCGGGAGGUUUUCGAUUGCUUUUGCUGCUGCAGCAGCUUCGGGUGGUGCACCAAUUAGGUUCGAUCCGCCAAGGUAUUGGAUCGGUCUAUUGGUUGUGUUUUUGCUAUAUGUUUAAUCCUUCAAUUAAACACAGUUAAUUUUCAUCAAAAUUAGCAUGAAUACAAUAGUGCUUCCAACAGAAAAUAAAAGGAAAAAUGACAACCCAAAAAAGUUGACAACCCAAGACAAAUAAGUUUAGAACAGGGCAAACAAUGGCAAUCCAACAAAACCAAAGUUGUGAUUAAAUGAAGCAUAAUUUAAUUAAACAAACCAUCAGCGGAGAAAGAUCCAAUAGCUAAAAAAAAAAAAAAAGUUCUAAACCUUGAGCGUAAACAGCUUGCAAGGUUGCAGACAGAAUGGCCAAAAUUCGAACAACUUUUGCUGAAACCAAAUAUGAAAGCAGAUUAGAAGGGGAAACCCAAAGCACGAAAUAAAAUUUGAUAUACGGGAAAGCAACAUACAGGAAAAUAACCAAAAAUACCAACGAAAAAAAGGGAAAAUAAUAUACAGGAAAAUACAUUAUCUUCAUAAGUAAGAAGCAGAUUGGAACAAUGGAUUUAGCAAAAAGCAAAAAAGCCCCAGCUCAAAACCCAAUUUUUUUCUAAAUCUCAACCUAGAUAUGAACAUUUCAGCGAAACCUAAACCCUAGACAGGCACAAAUAUUUAACUCUUCAUAGAAAAUUUACAAAAAUUUAAAGAAUGACAACCCCAGCAAAAAAAAACAAAAAUUUAAAGAAUGACAACCCCAGCAAAAAAAACAAAACAAAAAAUCCAAACAUAUCCAAAAUUAGCAAGAGAAACACAAACCCAAAAGCAAAUCAGCCUCUCACACUAAGCAAACACGGUAGCAGCCAUGCACGCCCAUGGCUUUUUCAUCUCAGGAGGCCAUGACUGACGACGGAAUAACCAAAAUACCAAAGAAAGAUCAGAUUCCAAAAAAAACCCAAAUUGAAAUGAACCCUAGAAAUUGAAAUUCAGAAUUGAAAAUUCAAAUUGGGGGAGCUCUGAUAUUUUACCUAAAUAGCAACUUAGGAGUUGCCGCUGCACCACUAAUUCACAACUAAGUCGUAGCCAUAUCCAUUCCUCAACAAUCUUUGAAUUUUAAUUAAAACAGAAAAAAUAUUAGAAAAUGGUUAAAGAUAAGUUAUAUAACCGCAGGCAAAUCCAUUCCUCAACAAUCUUUCAAUUUUAAUUAAAAAAAAAAAAUUGUUAAUGAUAGGUUACACACCUGACCCAGAAAGUGUUUGCAAACUCCCAAAACAAAACCCUAAAAUUAGAAGAUAAACGUUUCCUGCAACCAAAAAUGAAAUCAAACAAAAGAUCCACACACAAAUCAGCAAAAAAUAAAGAAAGCAUUUAGAAAGAAUCGAAUUUUACAACAAUCAAUUAAAAAAAUCUCUCCAGAUGAAAUGUUCCAGUUGUCCUAAUAAUAUUAGGGCCCGUUUGUUUGACCUUCUUAAGUUUCACUGGACUAGACUCACUUACUAGUCCAGUGUUUGGUGAAAGCGGGACAACGUUUAAUGGUACUAAGUCGGACUCGUGCCGACUAAGUCCUUCACUGCGUGGUCUUAGCGAGGCCCCUCAAAACGUUUGGGAUUGCUAAUCCCGUCUCCGAACUUGCGUUGUGUGCAACAGUGUUGUCUACAAGCAUGCCUCUCUGCAACUCCAUUUGCCUCCAUGCCCAGAUCUUAAACCCAGAUUUGAAACCCAGCCCACCCAUGCCCAUAUCCGAAACAAAAAAGCAAAACGAAAACAACAAUCUCAGUAAAAAUUCUUCCCUCUUCCCAGAAAAAUUCGAAGGAGUGAGAAACAGAGGCAGCAAAGUCCAUGGCGAUGGGUACCGAGAGGACGAAGCCUCUGCAUAAUUUCCGCUUUCCGUGGGAUGUGAAGUGGGGUGAUGUUGCUUGCCAAGGAGAGAUGAAGUGCAGAGGCAAGAGGCAAAGAAGAUGAAGUGAAGAGGUAGAUGAUUUGCAAUAAAAAACGAAGUGACAAAAUGGGAGAAAAGGGGAAUGGGGAGGGAGAGGCGGAGAAAACAAUGAAUGAAGACAUAGGGGAGGAUUCUAGAAAAACAGGGAAAAAGAAAGUAAUAAUAAAAUAUUAAUUGAUAUAUUAAAUUAAAAAUAAAAUAUUAAUAAAUAUAGAUUAAAUAAUAUAAUAUUAUAGUCCUGCUUCUUAGUCUGACACUGCACCAAACGCUUCACUAAGUCAGUCCAGCUUAGUCUAGUCUAAGCCAAUCCAGCUUAGUCCCUGAAGCUAGUCCAGUCCGAGACAGUCCGGUGCAACAAACGCACCCUUAGGUUAUAUAUAUGUAGCUAUAAGAUUACGCAAUACAGCAGUUUUGUGUACAUCCAAAUACAUGUAGGUGUUUCUUUCAUUCAUCUUUUCAGACUUUUCGUUAAUGGCAAUUUUCAUUAAUUGUUUGAGCUCUACUGUACCGUUCUGUGAUCGUUAUCGUUAUAUCAAUUGCUUUCUGGUGUUCAUGUAAGUAAACUCCUAUGAUAUCCGAUGCCAAAAAUCGAAAUUGUAAUGUUAUUGCUCCGGAAGGAUGAAAAGCAAACAAAUCACCAGGAUAUCAUAUAAAUUACAAAUCUAGAAUACAAACUAUAGAAACAAAGCAGAAAUGUUCAGUAUCUCCACCAAAAAUUGAUAGACUAUACAUAAAUUACACCAAGACACACACAGAGAUGCAUAGAAUUCUAAAAUUUUGCCCCAAAUUAGAGCAAAAGGAAGAGAAACAGGGGAAAACCCACAUACCUCCCACUACGAAUAAGUUAACCGUAUGAUUCCAGAACGAAAUCCUGAUCUCAUCAGGGUUCAAAAUCCGAAACUUUGGGCAACUGCCGAGAGCAACCGCGUGGUGAUGGAGAACCGAAGGAACUUUUGGGGAAAUGGAAAGUGAGGUCUUGAGGAAGAGGGAAUCGGGAGUGAGAGAGAAGAAGUAGGAGAGGAAGAGGAGGAGGGAGAAGAGGAGGGUCAGGUAGAGCAGAGGGGAGACGGAAUCGAAGAUCAGUAAAUCCAAAACCAGCAUUCUCAUCAGGAAAAAAAAUCACUAAAAAGAAAAAGGCAGAAAAAUGCAGGGCAUUCUUCCCGAAGGCAACAGAUCUAACAUUCUUGGAAAGAAAAUUCGAUCACGAAUUGAAAAAAAAAAGUGAGAGAGAGAGACGAACCUUCAUACGGAGGCUAGUGAUCCGGAGCUCGAGAAAUCUGUGGAAGCAAAUGGAAGAGCCCUGAUUUUCCAUAUUUCUUCCGUUCUAGGAUGAGAGAAACGGAAGAGAUGGAGUUGUGGCUGCUAGGGUUUGAGGAGGACAGAAACAGGAAGAGUGAGAAAUGAGAGAGGGCUCACGUAGGAGAGUGGAAGAGUGAGAUUAUAACCCAGCAAUCCGUGUUAAACCAAACGGACAGAAUUACCCUCUGAACUUUUGAGAAUUACACUCCCA